GAUGAACGCUGGCGGCGUGCCUAAUACAUGCAAGUAGAACGCUGAAGGAGGAGCUUGCUCUUCUGGAUGAGUUGCGAACGGGUGAGUAACGCGUAGGUAACCUGCCUGGUAGCGGGGGAUAACUAUUGGAAACGAUAGCUAAUACCGCAUGACAACAGUUAUUGCAUGAUAACUGUUUAAAAGGGGCAACUGCUCCACUACCAGAUGGACCUGCGUUGUAUUAGCUAGUUGGUGAGGUAACGGCUCACCAAGGCGACGAUACAUAGCCGACCUGAGAGGGUGAUCGGCCACACUGGGACUGAGACACGGCCCAGACUCCUACGGGAGGCAGCAGUAGGGAAUCUUCGGCAAUGGACGGAAGUCUGACCGAGCAACGCCGCGUGAGUGAAGAAGGUUUUCGGAUCGUAAAGCUCUGUUGUAAGAGAAGAACGAGUGUGAGAGUGGAAAGUUCGCACUGUGACGGUAUCUUACCAGAAAGGGACGGCUAACUACGUG
This 495-nucleotide ribosomal RNA is filed under the name uncultured bacterium. Its description in RNAcentral is "partial 16S ribosomal RNA". It matches the Rfam family "Bacterial small subunit ribosomal RNA", at positions 28 to 507 of the family's 1533-position model. The record is from RNAcentral.